Molecule: transfer RNA, 71 nt
Filed under: Paenibacillus sp. GD4
Lineage: Bacteria; Bacillati; Bacillota; Bacilli; Caryophanales; Paenibacillaceae
Description: tRNA-Gly
Rfam family: tRNA
About the family: Transfer RNA (tRNA) molecules are approximately 80 nucleotides in length. Their secondary structure includes four short double-helical elements and three loops (D, anti-codon, and T loops). Further hydrogen bonds mediate the characteristic L-shaped molecular structure. tRNAs have two regions of fundamental functional importance: the anti-codon, which is responsible for specific mRNA codon recognition, and the 3' end, to which the tRNAs corresponding amino acid is attached (by aminoacyl-tRNA synthetases). tRNAs cope with the degeneracy of the genetic code in two manners: having more than one tRNA (with a specific anti-codon) for a particular amino acid; and 'wobble' base-pairing, i.e. permitting non-standard base-pairing at the 3rd anti-codon position.
Source: RNAcentral
GCGGAUGUAGUUGAAUGGUAGAGCUCCAGCCUUCCAAGCUGGUGUGAGUCCGAUUUUCAUCAUCCGUUCCA